This 475-nucleotide ribosomal RNA is filed under the name uncultured organism. RNAcentral describes it as "partial 16S ribosomal RNA". It matches the Rfam family "Bacterial small subunit ribosomal RNA", at positions 331 to 798 of the family's 1533-position model. The record is from RNAcentral.
GUACACUCUGCGGGAGGCAGCAGUGGGGAAUUUUGGACAAUGGGCGAAAGCCUGAUCCAGCAAUGCCGCGUGAGUGAAGAAGGCCUUCGGGUUGUAAAGCUCUUUUGUCAGGGAAGAAACGGUGAAAGCUAAUAUCUUUUGCUAAUGACGGUACCUGAAGAAUAAGCACCGGCUAACUACGUGCCAGCAGCCGCGGUAAUACGUAGGGUGCAAGCGUUAAUCGGAAUUACUGGGCGUAAAGCGUGCGCAGGCGGUUUUGUAAGUCUGAUGUGAAAUCCCCGGGCUCAACCUGGGAAUUGCAUUGGAGACUGCAAGGCUAGAAUCUGGCAGAGGGGGGUAGAAUUCCACGUGUAGCAGUGAAAUGCGUAGAUAUGUGGAGGAACACCGAUGGCGAAGGCAGCCCCCUGGGUCAAGAUUGACGCUCAUGCACGAAAGCGUGGGGAGCAAACAGGAUUAGAAACCCUGGUAGUCCCAU